Molecule: microRNA precursor, 86 nt
Filed under: Bombyx mori (domestic silkworm)
Lineage: Eukaryota; Metazoa; Arthropoda; Insecta; Lepidoptera; Bombycidae
Description: mir-2807 microRNA precursor family
Rfam family: mir-2807 microRNA precursor family
Source: Rfam by way of RNAcentral
UGAACUAAAAUUUGAAUGCAGUUGGAACGUUUGCCUACGUUGACCGCUAGGGGCGCUGUUCCAACUGCAAACAAACCACUUCGAUA